Molecule: ribosomal RNA, 254 nt
Filed under: uncultured bacterium
Lineage: Bacteria
Description: partial 16S ribosomal RNA
Rfam family: Bacterial small subunit ribosomal RNA
Source: RNAcentral
UACGUAGGGUGCAAGCGUUGUCCGGAAUUAUUGGGCGUAAAGAGCUUGUAGGCGGUUUGUCGCGUCUGCUGUGAAAUUUCGGGGCUCAACCCCGAACUUGCAGUGGGUACGGGCAGACUAGAGUGUGGUAGGGGAGACUGGAAUUCCUGGUGUAGCGGUGAAAUGCGCAGAUAUCAGGAGGAACACCGAUGGCGAAGGCAGGUCUCUGGGCCAUAACUGACGCUGAGGCGACGAAAGCGUGGGGAGCAAACAGG